CCUCCAUAGCCGGGUGAGCCUGGUUUCAGCUUCUCUUUAUUAGAAAGGGAAAACUAUUUUCACAAAAGUGGCAUCGAUCCAGAGCGAGGGACCGACUCCUCUCAGUUGGGAGGACCUUCGACACCGAAUUCAGUAGGCUCAGGUUUGCAGGCCACCAUCAGUGGCUUUAAAUGAAACACCAGACCACACAACACUGUGGAAACACUGAAGAUGCUGUCUGCAUAGGGAAAUUCGCUGUUUUUUUCCUCUCCUAAACUCUCUGAAGAAGCUAAAACCAAAAUUCUCAUCACUGUCAAUGAGAGCAGGACUGGACCUUUUGCAGAUAUAGAUAUAAAAUGAGACAAAUAUGAUUAUUUGGAGCUGAAUGCAUGCACUUUAAAAGUGUGUUAUUCAUGAGAAAAAGAUCUGAAGACAAAAUGAUUGCUCACUUGUGGCGCUUGCUGGUGUUGCUCGGGGGAAGAAAGCAGCAGCAGCAGCCGGUGCGAGAGGGAAGUGGCUGGCAACCAGCACAAGGAUGGGUUUCACUCCUGGCCCUUUCUCAGGCGAGACGGGAGCUUUUCCUGAGCACAGUCCGCGAGACUGGAUCACAGCUCCUCAGCCUUCAGCACAUUAAGGUAACCUUCUACUGCAGGAUAUUUGUAAUGCUGAGCAGAAUGGCAAGUGGUAUCUUGUCCAGGCCCGGGUAAGUCUUCCAGUUAAACAAAUAUUUGGCAACAAUAUUUUUGCCUAAACUUUGUUGCUACCAACACAUAAGAGAGAAAUAAUAAUAUUCCAUUUCAUCUCCUAAACUAUCCCUUCUUUAUGCAGCCACAUUAGGUUUAAAAUAGACUACAACAAUUUGAGCACUUGAUAGCUGACGUGCAGGUUAGUUUAAGAGCACAUGGAGGCAAAUCCUCAGGCAAUGUAAAUCAUCCCGAGGCUGCUACAAGGUGCUUCUCUGAUCUGCUUCAGGAAGGUACCUUGCAUGUGAGGUCUGCUCGCCAGCCAGCUUUUGCUUACCAUAGAGAUCUUCAGCACCCGAGCAUUUUCCUUUUUACUCACUGGCAUGCUCUUUAUGAUAAAAUGCACAUUUAUCUACGCUGAUAAAAUUGAAAUUGAACCGCAGUAAUAUGUGGCCAGGACCGUCCUUGUUGCAUGAUCCAAUAAAAUUCUCAGCCAGGGUUCCCUCUAAGGAUUA
Molecule: long non-coding RNA, 1177 nt
Filed under: Struthio camelus australis
Lineage: Eukaryota; Metazoa; Chordata; Aves; Struthioniformes; Struthionidae
Description: lncRNA (ENSSCUG00000000537.1)
Source: RNAcentral